UGGGGAAUUUUGGACAAUGGGCGAAAGCCUGAUCCAGCAAUGCCGCGUGUGUGAAGAAGGCCUUCGGGUUGUAAAGCACUUUUGUCCGGAAAGAAAUCCUUGGCUCUAAUACAGUCGGGGGAUGACGGUACCGGAAGAAUAAGCACCGGCUAACUACGUGCCAGCAGCCGCGGUAAUACGUAGGGUGCAAGCGUUAAUCGGAAUUACUGGGCGUAAAGCGUGCGCAGGCGGUUUGCUAAGACCGAUGUGAAAUCCCCGGGCUCAACCUGGGAACUGCAUUGGUGACUGGGCAGGCUAGAGGUAUGGCAGGAGGGGGGUAGAAUUCCACGUGUAGCAGUGAAAUGCGUAGAGAUGUGGAGGAAUACCGAUGGCGAAGGCAGCCCCCUGGGCCAAUACUGACGCUCAUGCAACGAAAAGCGUGGGGGAGCAAAACAGGAUUAGAUACCCUGGUAGUCCACGCCCUAAAACGAUGUCAACUAGUUGUUGGGGAUUCAUUCCUUAGUAACGUAGCUAACGCGUGAAGUUGACC
This 529-nucleotide ribosomal RNA is filed under the name uncultured bacterium. Its description in RNAcentral is "partial 16S ribosomal RNA". It matches the Rfam family "Bacterial small subunit ribosomal RNA", at positions 355 to 870 of the family's 1533-position model. The record is from RNAcentral.